RNAcentral lists this long non-coding RNA (845 nucleotides) under Homo sapiens (human). Its description in RNAcentral is "HSALNT0100213". The record is from RNAcentral. Lineage: Eukaryota; Metazoa; Chordata; Mammalia; Primates; Hominidae.
GGGAGACCCUCUGUGGAACCAGCGUGCCCCUGACCCUGCCCUCUGCCCUGACUGGAGCUGGGAGGAUUCUUCACCCAGGGCGGCCACUGAGGCAGCAGCUGGUGGGAGACCCCAGUAGAGAAUAACCAAACCAGCCUCUAAUUGCCAAACUGGAGCUGGCACUAGACACCAAGAGCACCUGGGUGUCAUGAGGGAUGGGAGAGAGAGGACAGCAAGCAACUAAUUGGCAGCAGAGCCCACUCCUCCUGUCGGUGGAUUCUCCCUAGUUGCUCUCCAGUGGGGCACUAGAGGCAACACAGAUUGCAGCCAAGAUGGUCUGCACGUGGUGCAGGGGCUCUGCCAGGGCAGCUGCUGCUCAGGACUGUAGGAGCAAUGUUGCUUGGAAUUGGAGUCUCCUCCAAAGAAAGCACAGCUCACACAGAUCUUAGUGAGAAAUAGCAACAAUAACUGCCACCAUCAUGCCCCUGCCACGUGGCAGGCUCCGGGGUACACCCUUUCCAGGCAUUACUCCAUUGGCAGCAAGCAUAUAAGUGGGGCUAUUAUGAUCUUCACUUUAAGGACAAGAGGAACAAGGCCACAGAGAAUCCUGAUUUUGUUUGGAAGGACAGCGUGCCUGGUUCCAGGACUUGAAUCAUUCGUUUGUCCAGCAUCUCCAUGCUGUGUACGCUACCCGCCUGUUAGUCAUUGACACUGUCUGCUCCUGACAUCCACCCAUCAAUAUUGUCAUUGCUCAAUGAUCCAGGAUCACCGAGAGCAGAUGAGCCUCCUGAUGCAUGGUCAGAAGGUCAAUAGUAGCUUACUUCUCCGUCACAACGCCUGAGUUAUUCACCUCACCUCACCUCAUC